GCUUAUGGACAAGCAAAGAAAGUGCUUUCUUGCAAUGGCAUCUUCUUCUGGUGAAGAUACUGUGAA
RNAcentral lists this microRNA precursor (66 nucleotides) under Marmota monax (woodchuck). Lineage: Eukaryota; Metazoa; Chordata; Mammalia; Rodentia; Sciuridae. The record is from RNAcentral.